RNAcentral lists this ribosomal RNA (497 nucleotides) under uncultured bacterium. RNAcentral describes it as "partial 16S ribosomal RNA". It matches the Rfam family "Bacterial small subunit ribosomal RNA", at positions 28 to 507 of the family's 1533-position model. The record is from RNAcentral.
GAUGAACGCUGGCGGCGUGCCUAAUACAUGCAAGUCGAGCGAACAGACGAGGAGUUUUCUUCUCUGACGUUAGCGGCGGACGGGUGAGUCAUACGUGGAUAACCUAUCUAUAAGACUGGGAUCACUUCGGGAAACCUGAUCUAAUAUCGGAUAACAUGUUGAACCGCAUGGAUCAUCAGUGAAAGCCGUUCUUGAUGUCACUUAUAGAUGGUAGCUCGCCGCAUUAGCUAGUUGGUAAGGUAACGGCUUACCAAGGCAACGAUGCGUAGCCGACCUGAGAGGAUGAUCGGCCACACUGGAACUGAGACACGGUCCAGACUCCUACGGGAGGCAGCAGUAGGGAAUCUUCCGCAAUGGGCGAAAGCCUGACGGAGCAACGCCGCGUGAGUGAAGAAGGUCUUCGGAUCGUAAAACACUGUUAUUAGGGAAGAACGAAUGUGUGAGUAACUAUUCACGUCUUGACGUUACCUAAACAGAAAGCCACGGCUAACUACGUG